AGAUCGAUGUGGUCGCUUAGCUCGUUGAUGAACUUCAAGAGGGUGUCGAAAUCCAUCUGUUCGUCCAUGAUCUUUCUGCGGUAUUGCUUCAAGAUGGCAACGCACAUGUACAGGUGGAAGUGCUCAGACAAGUAGUGUGUCCACAGUACUUCCCAAAGAUGCAUGAUCUUCUCGUAAGGAAAUUCCCUUUUGAACUGUAUAAGAAUCCAACGAAAGCAAAAGAAAUAGUUCAAGCAAUCAGCCUGCUUAAAGUAAUUGUGCAGCGGAUAGUCUAAAAGCUCCACCAGCUUAG
RNAcentral lists this unclassified non-coding RNA (292 nucleotides) under Hevea brasiliensis (rubber tree). The record is from RNAcentral. Lineage: Eukaryota; Viridiplantae; Streptophyta; Magnoliopsida; Malpighiales; Euphorbiaceae.